GAAAAUGAUGAUUGUUAUUGUCGCCCCAGUCUUAAUUUGCAUCCAAAAUAUUGGAUUUGCAAGAUGGUGAUUGACACAUCACAUAUGAUUC
Molecule: non-coding RNA, 91 nt
Organism: Nicotiana sylvestris (wood tobacco)
Lineage: Eukaryota; Viridiplantae; Streptophyta; Magnoliopsida; Solanales; Solanaceae
Source: Rfam